This 403-nucleotide ribosomal RNA is filed under the name bacterium. RNAcentral's name for it is "partial 16S ribosomal RNA". It matches the Rfam family "Bacterial small subunit ribosomal RNA", at positions 355 to 776 of the family's 1533-position model. The record is from RNAcentral.
UGGGGAAUAUUGCACAAUGGAGGGAACUCUGAUGCAGCGACGCCGCGUGAACGAAGAAGGCUUUCGAGUCGUAAAGUUCUUUUAUAUGGGAAGAUAAUGACGGUACCAUAAGAAAAAGCCCCGGCUAACUACGUGCCAGCAGCCGCGGUAAUACGUAGGGGGCUAGCGUUGUCCGGAAUCACUGGGGGUAAAGGGUUCGCAGGCGGAAAUGCAAGUCAGGUGUAAAAGGCAGUAGCUUAACUACUGUAAGCAUUUGAAACUGCAAAUCUUGAGAAGAGUAGAGGUAAGUGGAAUUGUUAGUGUAGCAGUGAAAUGCGUAGAUAUUAAAAAGCAUACCAGUGGCGAAGGCGGCUUACGGGGAUCAGUCUGACGCUGAGGAUCGAAAGCGUGGAUGGCAGACAGG